GGGCUUUAAAGGAAUAAAAAGGAAAGAGCUGAUGACAGGCUUAGAAAGCAACAGAAGAAGAGACCAAGAUGAAGGAGUCUGAGCUAAUGCGAGGAAACCCGCUGAUCAAUAUGAAUAACUUCUGCUCCUUCGACGUGGAAGUAACAAUGCUGCCUACUAUAUUAUAUUAUGCAGGGUCAUGGAGAGACCAAGACACCGAAACGGUUCAUCAACUACACCGUCAUAAGUGAUUUCCACCGCAAGUUUCUGCAUAGGUACUAUGCCUCCUGCCUAGUGAGCUGCAGGUCUUCUUCCCCCAUCACCUGCAGGCAUUGACGACCACCAUGGCCUGCUGGAGCUCCUGCUCAGGUGAUGACGCACCCGUGCUCCUCCGACCAUGUUACUGCCGACGCCAUGUAGCGGCAACUUGCAGCAGGAUCCCCGACCCCUUCCCAACGAGCUGCCUGCAGGAUUCAAGCCGGCAUGUGAAGAUGAGAAGAGCAGCAAGCUGGUGGGCAAAGUCUUCUUCUGCAGUGACAACAACCUCAUGAGCACCGGGCUGCACGACCGCCUGCAGCUGCAACAGAGGAGCGGGAAUGAGCUGCAGGCACUAGACGACCAGGACCUGGCUAAGUUGCGUUCAAGUGACGAAUUGAUGGAGCUUAAGCUGGCCUUCAACGCCACAGCUAGGCAGAGGUUGGGCAGCUGGCCUGCUGACACCAAUGCCUAAUCUUUUUUGGUACAGUGCCUCCUGCCUAGUGAGCUGCAGGUCCUCUUCCCCCACCACCUUCAGGCAUUGAAGACCACAAUGGCCUGCUGGAGCUCCUGCUCGGGUGACGAUGUGCCCGUGCUUCUCCGACCCUGUUACUGCCGACGCCAUGGAGCGGCAACUUGCAGCAGCAUCUCCGACCCCUUCCCAACGAGCUGCCUGAAGGAUUCAAGCAGGUGCGUGAGGAUGAGAAGAGCAGCAAGCUGGUGGGCAACGUCUUCUUCCGCAGCGACAACAACCUCAUGAGCGCCGGGCUGCACGACCGCCUGCAGCCGCAACAGAGGAGCAGGAGGAAUGAGCUUCAGGCACUAGAGCAGUGUCCUGUUUCUUGUUGCAUGGAACGUUAGCCUUCAUUUACUUGGUUAGAGCAGUGUCCUGUUUCAGCUCUUUUGUUUGGUUUUCUUUAGUCUUGGGACUGAACGUCUUGUUUUGUUUUGGGCGUGGAGUGAUCGGGCGUUGUAUAUACAGUAGUAAUCUAAGGACUCG
Molecule: long non-coding RNA, 1234 nt
Organism: Triticum dicoccoides
Lineage: Eukaryota; Viridiplantae; Streptophyta; Magnoliopsida; Poales; Poaceae
Exons: 8
Source: RefSeq, a predicted model, not a curated record